AACGCGAAGAACCUUACCCAGAUUUGAAAUGCAGAGGACGCCGGCAGAAAUGACGGUUCCCGCAAGGGCCUUUGCACAGGUGCUGCAUGGCUGUCGUCAGCUCGUGCCGUGAGGUGUUGGGUUAAGUCCCGCAACGAGCGCAACCCUUAUCAUUAGUUGCCAACACGCGAGGUGGGGACUCUAAUGAGACUGCCUAGGUUAACUAGGAGGAAGGUGAGGAUGACGUCAAGUCCGCAUGGCCUUUAUAUCUGGGGCUACACACGUGCUACAAUGGUCGGUACAGAAGGCAGCAAGACCGCGAGGUGGAGCAAAUCCCUAAAGCCGAUCUCAGUUCAGAUUGUAGUCUGCAACUCGACUACAUGAAGCUGGAAUUGCUAGUAAUGACGUGUCAGCAACAACGUCGUGAAUACGUUCCCGGGCCUUGUACACACCGUAGAGAC
RNAcentral lists this ribosomal RNA (440 nucleotides) under uncultured bacterium. Its description in RNAcentral is "bacterial SSU rRNA". It matches the Rfam family "Bacterial small subunit ribosomal RNA", at positions 958 to 1400 of the family's 1533-position model. The record is from RNAcentral.